CAACGGGAAAGGGGUGUUCCCAUUCGGAGGGUCGCGAAGAGCGAACCCGAGUAAAGGCGGCGGGAGGUCACCGAGAUAGUAGGAACUGCAGAUGCUGGAGAAUCCGAGACAACAAGGUGCAGGGCUGGAUGAACACAGCAGGCCAAGCAGCAUCGAGAGGCGAGUGGGCGGGACACAUUUGUAUGACGGACGGACCACUUCGGCACCUCAUAGGCAGUGGGAGAUGCCAAUCAAGGUGAGUAGCGGAACCGUCAAUAAAAACUAACGGUUUCUGCUCGAGCCUUCGGCAAAGCGGCGAGAGGAAGGAGUGGAAAACGUUGGAAAUAAAUAACACUUUGAGGGAAGGCGGGUGAAGAAACAGUACCAAUGUUCCAGACUUUUAUCAGAGUUAUUGUGACUCCGCCCUUCAAGAAAGUGCAGACCAAUUCCCUCAACAUCUGUGUUUAGGACGCUGCUGGUUUUAACCAGUGAAGGCACAGAAACUUGCACUUUCAAAAUGACAGUGCACGCGAGCAGUGUCAAUAUAUUUUUGUGGAAGAUAGGCCACGUUUGAGUAAUUUUUUUUCCGUGAAUGAAGAGGAACCCGAGGAUAUGCUGUACUUGAUAAGGUGCCGAGAACAAAACGGGGAGGAGGCUACCUUAGGAAUUAUCAAGAAAUUGGGAGUAGCUGUAAAUUGGUCACUUUCGGGUUAGCAAGGCAAACGCAAAGUGAAAUACUUUUAUUUGUUUGGAUGAGUGCAACACCAACAACAUUCAGAAGCUCCACGCCAUCCAGGACAAAAGUGGCCCACCUGAUCCGCACCCUAUCCAUUAACUUUAAAAAUUUACUCUCUUCACCACCAAAAACGCAGCAGCAGUGUGUGCUACCUAUAAGAUCUCACCAAGGCACCUUCCAAAUCUGCAGUCUUUACUGUCUAGAAGGACAAGUGCAAAAGGAGGACCAAAGGUGGUCCAGUGCACCACCUGGUAGGUCAGGACGGGCUAUCUACUAGCUCAUGCGCAGUUCGUGAAGGGCUCGUGGUAGACAGUGCAAGGGCAAUGGGUUGCAACUGAGGAAAUUUUGUCCUGUCCCACACAGUUCCUUGAGACACUUUUUUUUUCCAAAUUUCAUCCAGCUAUCCCUUUAAGGACUGUUAGGUCUACUGUUCAAACCUGGUACAAUUUGGCACAAUGUAAAUGGUGCCAGGCCCUCGCCCACUUUGAAUUUGAAUUUCCCAUACAGAGUAUAGGAUUGUGGUUUACAUAUUUAAGCUGGGGUGCUACACAAUCAAGUCAUUAUGACCUCUGGUAUACCUCAGAUCCAGAAUGGCUGUGAUACAGCAAUAUGUAAAAUAAGGAAUGGUAUAGCUCAAUUUACUGGAGCAAAAGAGCUAAAUCACUAGGUUAAAUUUUGAUGCAUAAGGGCACAUCUCAUGAACAGGCCUAGUGGAUAUUUACUGGAAAAACCAAGACACUCCGUGGUAAGAGUACAGCUAUAAUUGGUAUAAUUGCUAGUGUUAGUAAAAAGAACUUGAGAAACUCCCAUUCUGCACGCUAAACAUGCUCCAAGACAGGGUUGUCAACUACACUCUCCACCCAUUAUGCGGCAAAGUGAGGCUUUUCAUUAAAUGUAAGAUUUUAAUCAGAUGGACAUUAGGACACUGCAGCAGUCAUUAACUGAGCACAUAAUUCCACUGUCUGACACAAUGCAUAAUAAUAUCAAAAAUAAAUAGAAAACUCUGAGGGAAAAGCAAUCCUUCACAUUGUAAGAAUUUAUAACUGAGUACUAUGAUGUUUUUUUAAAAUUCAUUCACAGGAUGUGGGUAUCACUGGCUAGGCCAGCAUUUAUUGCAAUAAAGAGACACAUGUUUAAGGAGCUGAUAGGAUAUUAAAAAAGUUUUAGUUGCUGCACCAAAGCUGCAUACUGUGUAGCAACUACUCCCUGCUACUUCUGAUAGAACUACAGUAAUUGCACUGUUUUUCACUUUUAGUCCUGUCCCCUACAUGCAGUUUGUUUCUUCAAGAUUGUUUGUAAGAUUCACCCCAUUCUUCAUGUGGCAAACAUGAUCUGAUCGCCACAGGCAGCGAUAUCUUAUUGAACCACGCUAACCUAGCACUUCUAUAUGAUGAUUCAUAAACUUGUCUUCAGCCAUACUUGUUAAUCUUCCAACUUAGAGAAGCUCAUGAGAAGGUUGUUCACUGUGCACUGCAGACUUGGCACCUUCUUGUGACAUGGGUACAUGUGGUGGGUUUGGGCAGAUACUACCCUGCAGCAGAGCAAUUCAAGAAGGUUGCUUCACAAAACUAGAAACAUGCAGGAAAUCCAUCUUCAAUAAUGCAUUGCAAGUUACUAUGCAUCAGGAACUAUUUGAAUAUUUGGAAUCCACUUAUGUUUAUUCUCAGUAAGUGGCAUAGCAAGAGACCAACAGACUGGUUGAAUUACCAAAUAUAAUACCCUCCAGAUUAACACAGAGUACACCAGUGACUGCAACAGCAUCCACACAACAUGGAAACCACUGAAAGAACUGCUAAAAGACAAUGUCAUGCAAAACAUUAUUAUAACAUUGUAAAUAAAAUAACACUGCAAUUGCAAAAUAAGUAACUUAUAGUUACAGAAAACAUAGUGAAAGAGAUUUAUUAUUUUUAUUGGGUCAGCAAAACUCAUCUUGAUUUUAAAAAAAAAAAAAAAAAAUUUGUAAUACCACAGCUUUUAGGUCAUGCUGCAAAAGACAAGUCUUAAAACUGCAGCAGUUGAUAGUGUCAAGUGAAAUUAGUGGAUAGUGGCAACAAUGAUGUCAUUCCAAAAGUGAAUGUUUGUUGGUGAGGAGGAAUAGAAGACUACUUUAUUUAGGAAUAAAACAUGCUAUUUGAGCUCUCUUGGGAAUUUAAAUGAGAUUUAGUUUUCCUUUUAAUUUCUGAUAUUGUUAAUCUUGUAAUAUAUUUGAAGAUAUUGUUAAUAACUUGGCUAUUGCGUGGAUACUAAUGGAAAUGUUGACUAUGAACUCAUCAAGGUGUUACCGCACAUGUCGUCUACUUCCUUUCAAAUGCAUUACAGACCAGGUACUUUGUUUUCUUACAUUUUGCAGAAGUUUAAUGCUUAUUUUUGCAUACUCUAAAUGCUGAUACUGUUCCCUUUCAAUGUAUUUUCCUGACAGCAAACUCUGCACAUUAUACCUUGAUGGUUGCUCAUUACUGAAGUCCUUGGUAUUCAACUCAGACCAAAUACUUGAGGCCUAAGCCUUGAAGAUCAGAACAAAUAUCUUGAAAGUACAUUAAAUAUGAAUAUGCUGCCAGAACCUGAUGAGCUUCUCCAGCAUUCUCUAUGUUUGUUCCCUCCCGAAAGAACAUACGUGGACCAGAAUCCAAAAUCUUCACGGUCACUGUGCCAACAAUAGCAUGGUGGCUCAAGAUUUUCUUAAAAUUGAAUUAAAAUUCUCAAAACUCCAUGGUGAUGCAUUUUGGAAGAUCCAAUUUCAACAGCGAAC
This is a long non-coding RNA of Rhincodon typus (whale shark), 3464 nucleotides long. RefSeq lists it as uncharacterized. NCBI's taxonomy places the organism in Eukaryota, Metazoa, Chordata, Chondrichthyes, Orectolobiformes, Rhincodontidae. The transcript is spliced from 3 exons. The record is from RefSeq and is a predicted model, not a curated record.